Long non-coding RNA from Dicentrarchus labrax (European seabass), 5473 nucleotides. RefSeq lists it as uncharacterized. The transcript has 2 exons. Lineage: Eukaryota; Metazoa; Chordata; Actinopteri; Moronidae. The record is from RefSeq and is a predicted model, not a curated record.
CCUUCCUUUCAGACAACUUGCUCACUAUAGCGAAACAAAGUGCCACAGCCUACAGCCUCGCACUGCGCGCGGGGGUUUGUCGGGUCUGUGCGCGAGGCGCAAACUGAUUGGCCGGACUGUUUCUUCGAGCCUGAUAAAGCGUCAAUGGAGCGUAAAUCAAUCCUGCAAGCGGGCCUCUCUCUCUCUCUCUCUCUCUCUCUCUCUCUCUCUCUUUAAUAGAUUGCCCCUUUCUGAAUAAAUUGUCUUGUUUAUAUGCAAUAUGCAAAAUGAACAGUUCGUCCGUAUAUCUGUUCUGUGUAUCUAUGGCUGCUGUCAAGCUAGAAUUAUAUAAAACCAUUAAAUUAUGCUUCGUCUGGACAGUAUGCAUGGAAUGCCGAGCGGAGACAAAGGCUGACAAUAUAAGUGGCGCAAUUAUUUUUAUGCAUUUAUUUAUUUAGUUAUUCCUAACCUAAUCAAAAUACAUGCGCAUUUUAGUGCGAAGCGCACGGGACGCAUUGUCGUAGCAGAUCCACUCUUGCUGAAUUGUGGCAAGCAAUCACUUCAAUCAAUCUCAACAUCAGAGAGUCAGCCUUUAAAACACCAUUAGUAUAAGCGCCAAUAGUCGUACACUUAGAACGAGUCCACAGCAGAGAUAUUUUCUCUCCAGGACAAGAUAGAUAGUCAAAUUCACACCUAGGUGUGUUUAAUUAUUCACCCGCUUUCUGAAUCCACUUACAAGGUUUUCUGUGAGCUGCAGAGCCGCCUGACACUGUUUUAUUGGCAGAUUAACAGUCAUUUUUGUUAACGAGCGCCAUUAAAUCGGGCCCUGCGUGGUUAUGCCCCUUGUCUUUACAGCGCAAACUACUUCAACUACUUUUUUUGGGGGUCCGUUUAAUGCCAUAAUAAAAUCCUACAUCAGGGCGGCUGCUUUGGUUUUAUAGGGCUGAUAUAUGGCCUGUGGUGGUGCGGACCGUAAACGCGACUGAAGCUGUUGGAGCCUUCCUCCCGGUCGGGUAAAGGGCUCCUCUCACUCGGCGGUCAGGCUGCCAUGAGUAAACACAACUCGGACCUGAGCUCGGUGGAGGUACCGGGGACUGAGGCUCACAGCUUUCUCCUGUAACGGAAUAGUAGAUCAACUGACUGCUGCUGGCCUGUGCUGGAGCUACCGACGGUGUCCACUCUCGCUCUUUCAGUCAGGAGCGUUUGAGGGAUAAAAUCCGUCAUUGGGCUUUUAAUGAGGAGACUGAAGAGCAGCAGACUGGACUGGCAGUGAGUGCAGACAUUUGACUUCCUGCUGACCUUUAUCAAAGUCAGGAUUGACCAAUUUCCAGCUCAUCUGGACGGCAUUCCGAUGGAUACCAGCGACCCAGUAAGGAGCAGACAGAAAAGUAUGAACUUCAUUAGAGGUGGAUGUGUUAGAUGCGUAAACUGCUCAUUAAGCAUGUUUUGGGAAUUUUAGAGAUGGCUUGAAUGAGCUUUAGGGACAGGAACAGGAGUAGUAAUAGUAAGAGUGUUGUGUGUUAUGGCAUAGUGUCAGUUUAGUAAAGGAACGCCCUCAGCAUCAACCUGCAUGUGUCUGUUUAAAUCCUAAAGCAUUUUGUUUAUCAGUAUCACAACAGUGAACCUGCACUUCACACAGUGUUUCCGGCGUGUAGAAAACCGACUUUGUUUUCCAGUCAUAGAUGUUUGGGAUAUUUUUCAGUCAAAAUGGCCUCUCCACAGACCGCAGGCUGUGGGAAUUUUAAUUUUCGGAGGGCCUCCGCCCUGCAGGCCGGGCUGCCAACCAGACAGACAGCGCGUUAAUUGGAGACACUGGCGCAGAAAAAGCUUGAAGACAUUAUCUACAAACCACCUACAUUUUCUGCACGUUGCCUCAGUGCUGUGACACAAGUGACUUGGGCAAAUAAAUCCCCAUCCGCACGCACAUAUUCGCAGUUAGAAGUGCGCAAUAGGGAACGCAUGGGGUUAAAUCAAAAAUAGCCAUUAUGUAAUGACUUGUUUUCUUGUUGCACUUCACACUGGCCACAUAUUUCAGAGUGCACUUUCAAUAUCGUGAAGUAAAGAUAGGAGAUCAGUCAUUAUUGAGCAGAGGAAUAGGGACUGGGGGGGGGUAAUGCAUGACCAGAAACAGGUUUUUUGCUGCCAGUAAUGAGCACCAUGGUGAGCAUGCAGGUUCCAGCUUCGUCAGUUCACUCUGAGCAGCUGUUUUAUAUCUCGUCAGAAAAGUUGAUUUGAAAAUUAUAUACACCAAACUCUCAGUUGAUAUGAAACUGAAAAGUUCUUGUAUUCAAACUGUGACGGUGACCAGAUCAAUCGACUCAGGGCAUUUUACGUUUACAAGCUACCAAUAAAAGUAUUUACAGAACAAUAAAGUGCAUUUAUAGUAUCUCCUCUCCUUUUCUAGCAUAGGGUUUAAUAUUAAUUCCCCUAAACAAGGCAUUGGGCCGCCAUAAAAGCAGCGGGCUCAUUAAAAACAAGAGUGCAAUAAACUUAAGAAACGCAAGUGAACUCAUCAUGGAGAAGAGCUUAAAUUUCAGCACUGCGCACUCUUUUUCUUUUUCCCCCCAACCGAUUUUAAAUAACCGAGGCAGUCAGUGUCAAAGAGGCUGAGCCGAGGCCGCGAUCACCUCUGCUCAUUUGAAAUACUGACAUGUGAAUUCCAGGCGGUAAUUUACUUUUCCUGGAGCCAAAGCCUUCAUUUCCACCAAUGGGAUCCGGAUUUAGAAGGCAUAAAUUUAGACCGUAUUUCUAAUUACACUUUACGCACAUUCACGGGGUAUUUUUGUUUUGAAAGUGAAAUAUUGUCAGAGUCUGCAAGGAGAAUUCAUCACAUCAAUUGAAUAAUCUGAUUUUAGGUCUUUUGAUAUUGUCUGUUAAACCUAUUUUGUUGAGAAAGGCAGAGAUCACCUUCAUAAAAAGGUAAAAUUAACCAAAUGCUCCCUAAAUAUUCCAGCGAGCCAGUGGACAGAUUUUAUUGUAUCAAAUAAUCUCAGAAACUACAAAUUUCCUUAUACGUAUUUCUUUGUAAGAGUCAGAAAAUGGGUCAAAGGAUGUGAGGAAAACUUUUAACACCCAAUGAACACGCAGUAAAGUAGGUCCAGGGACUUUAAUUGCUGUUAAGUACUGAAGGUUACUGACUCAUUUCAGUUUUUAACCUUAAACGCUGUAGGGAAUGUGUGUAUAGGACAUACAGCAUAUAGUGUGUGUGUGUGUGGGGGGGGGGGUUCAACAUUACCAGUUUCAACAUUUAAUUGAAACUGGUGAUAUUUGCUUGCUGUGUGUAUUAUUUAUUCGAGAUCAUCCUUUUUUGGCCAUGUGGGGUUUUAUUUACUUCGAUUAUUGGAGUGCGAAAAGACUGCGGUCCCGUUAUUUAAUAAUACAAUGAUUAGGCUGAUUGUAUUAUAGAGGAUGUAAUUGAAAAGAAAUACAGAUGCGUCUGUUUACAAUUUGUAAACAUAGUUUCGAUACAGUUUUUUUUGUUUGUUUGUUAUAUUAUAAUACUUAAGUGUUUCAGUGCUGCAAACACACACUAUAGGGCAGCAGACAAGAGGGCUCCAAACUGCAUCAAAUUAUAUUUUACAUAAGCAUAUUUACCACAAUAUCACGGAGGUCGGGUCAGUAAAACAGAUGUCUUUCUCAGUUUGCCCAUUAAAUAGGCUAUAAAUACAAUAAAGAAAAAAAUUUUGUUUUAAUAGUUUGCAGAUUAUUUCAAUAAAUAGCAGCAACUAAACAAAUAAAUAAAUACAUUCUAAAAUGUUGAAUCUAAAAUAUACAUAUUAUAUGUGUUAAGCUAAACAUUUAACUAUGAAUCGGCAUGUUCAUGUACAUACAGUUUAUUGAAAUAUUCAUUAUAAAGCUAUAUUGAUCUUUUACAAUUUGCAUUGCAUAUAGAGUGUCAGAUAUCAGCUAAGAUGCUAACUCUGAUGACUGAUUAAUGAAUGGGGUAAACAUUGUGUGGUUUAACACAUUAUUCCCAGGUCUUCCAAUGAAAUAUUCUUCCCUGUGUAACAUGUCCCCACUCAUACCACCACAAACAUUAACUGUUAUUUAAUAAUUAAAAAAAAAAAAAAAAAGAACUUGAAUCAUGAUACACAUUCAACACUUUACAAUAUAAUGUGGAACGACUGAUUUAGGCUUUCUGUUUUGAUGAAAAAGCGUAAGUAGGUACCUAACAAUAAAUGGCCAUUGAGCAUGAUAACCUCUUUGAUUAAUACAAGCUAUAUAUUUUAAUAACAGCCCAUGCUUGGGCCUCGUGGAUCACGUACAGUAUCAUAUUUCUCAGCUGAAAAGCUUGAGGAGGCUCCAGGCAUCUCCCUGAGCCUCUUUAGAGCUCCGAUGGUAAAGUUGCUUUUGUAAAUGAAGUCAGUAGAGAGUUAUUAACUGGCUAUCCACCACAGUAGAAAUGCAUCAUGAUGUGGGACUCAGAAGCUGCAAGAAAUGUCCUGAGACACAUACUGGGAGAGAAAAGUCCAGCUGCUGGACUGUGUGUGUGUGUGUGUGCAUUAAUUCCACCUCCUCCUCAAACUUUCUCAAAUGUUUUGCUCCAUCUAGCUGCAAUUAAGAUAAAACAAUCAGAUGUAUUAAAAAGUCUGUAAGGCUUGUAUUUUGAAUGAUGUUAUCAGUAUGCAAGAAAGUAUGAGGAUGAAGAGAAUACACAGACCUGUGUAACGUGUGACAGUUAUGUUAGGUCCCAGUCUAUAAACCCAGCAAACACAUAUGCAAAAAGUCCACGUGUCAAUGUGUGUUUUAGAGGCUUAAUCCUACUAUCCUCAGCUACUUGAGUAUCUGUUUAUGUCUCAGAUAAUGCAGAUUUUUGCAGAAUGUGCUAGAGACUCCCUUGAUUGUGUGCAUGCAGUGUGUGAGUGUGUUUGUUGGAGAGAGAGUUUAACUCUUAAAAGCAAACAAACACUUUUGGAAUCUACAUAAUAAUUCAUUUGUGACUGCUUUACAGCCAAAUGCCACUAAAAUAUGCAAGUGUUUGGUAGAUUAAUGAAAAGUUCAUUUUGCACCCUGAACUAGAUAAAACAAAUGACACAAUGUAACAAUAAAGGAAAAAAUAUAAAACAAAUUAACUUUAUUGUUUUGCUGAUAUGAACAAGGAGCAAUAGUGGAGCUUAUUACUGGUUACUGACUGAAGGCUAGUAAUUUCAGUUGUCUUUUAUUUUGCAUCAGAACAGAAAGCUGAGCAGCAGUUCCACUGAAUGUUUCAUAUAAACGUAUAGGCUAACAUACAGUGUACUAAUGGGUAAUGGUUAACAUUAGUCACAACGUACAGAUGCCCUUAGGAGACAUUUCCACCAAUAAGCUCCCUUUAAUGUUAUCACUAUUCUGUACCAAAUCAAUCUGACUUGUAAAAUAAUAAUUGUUUUUGUGGUUCAAUGUGUUUCCUUUCAUUAAAAAUACUUUGUUGGAUGUGUGUCUUCACAGACAUUUGUUGACAUGAAACACUGUAUUAAAUUUGCUGAAAUCAAUAAAUAAAGUAGGAAACAAUGAG